ACAGGCAGAGGAUGACAGCCUCCUCGCCAGGGAACCUGGGUAGAUGCCUGGACCCAGAUGAGAGACCCAGGCCAAGCCAAGCCCUCAGGGAGCAGAGGGAGUUUGGGGAAGUGCUUGUGGAGGGGAAAUAGGAUUUGGGGCCUAUGAUUCCAGGGUCAGUGGGAGACACCAGAGAGGACUCUGACAAGAGCUGGAGGGCUGGACAGAGUUCGUCAGGCUCCCGGCUCAUGCACACUUAUUUUCUUCCUCUUUCUGUUAAUGACAAAAUAAAACAUACUAAUGGUAAACAUUUCAAACAGCAGUGAAUAAAAAGACAAAAAUGGAAGCUCCCCCCUCACAAUUUCCCCGUGGCCAGUGUGAAUAGUUUAGUGUUUAUCCUUCCAGACGUUUACCUAUGAACCUACAAACAAGCAAGAAAACUGAAACUCGCAGAAAGAAAAUGACUGACUCAAGAUCACAUGACCCAGGUUGGGAAUGCCGUGUCCCAGAGAGGAAGGAGAGCUCAAGGAAGAAUUGCUAGGGGGGCACCUUGAAGAGGUAAAAAGAGCCACAAGUGUGGUACAGCAGAGUCUGGAUUCCCUUCAGGACUAUGAGAACUAUGUCUCAGGCAUUGGACUGGUCGCUGGGAAUAUAGCCCAUGGGAAUAUGACCUAGACCUUGGAAAUUCACAGACUUGUUGGAUGUUGCUGAAAUAGAAAGUGGGAUGCAAGUCUCAGGACUUAUUAUUAGUAGAACAGGCACACUCUACUUUGGGAAGCAAAGUAGAGCCAGGGGUAUAAGGCUGGCUCAGGCAGUAAGGGGGAGAAACGAUGGAACCACAGGCAAAUGCCCUACUUCCUCUUUAAAAACCUCAAAAGUUUCAACCCACAACCAUGGCCACCUCCAACCUUGAGGCCAACCAGCUGAGCUCCAGGCUGGCUCAGUUCAUGGGUCCUGGAGCUCUGUUGCCUGGAUACUUUAGAAGGACAGCAGGAAAUGGAACAACUGAAUUCCACCUAUAUGUCCACUAUCAGAGGAAUUAUGUGCAUCCAUGCAACAAAAUACUGUGCAGCCAGGAAAAAGCAAGGGGUACAUUUACUGAGUGACUCCUACAUGCUAAGCCUCUUGACAAUCAUCUCAUUUAAUCUUCCUCAAAAUCUUUCAAGCUGUCAGAGCCGCUGUGGGUGCUGGAAGGUGUGGAGGCUUCAGAAGGGGGCUGUGGUAGACAGGAG
Long non-coding RNA from Zalophus californianus (California sea lion), 1211 nucleotides. RefSeq lists it as uncharacterized. The record is from RefSeq and is a predicted model, not a curated record. NCBI's taxonomy places the organism in Eukaryota, Metazoa, Chordata, Mammalia, Carnivora, Otariidae. The transcript has 4 exons.